Molecule: ribosomal RNA, 253 nt
Filed under: uncultured bacterium
Lineage: Bacteria
Description: partial 16S ribosomal RNA
Rfam family: Bacterial small subunit ribosomal RNA
Source: RNAcentral
GACAGAGGGGGCGAGCGUUGUCCGGAAUUAUUGGGCGUAAAGGGUACGUAGGCGGCUGGUCAAGUCUGGGGUCAAAGGCCACAGCUCAACUGUGGAAAGGCCCUGGAAACUGACCGGCUAGAGUGAGGUAGGGGUUGCGGGAAUUCCCGGUGUAGCGGUGAAAUGCGUAGAGAUCGGGAAGAACACCUGAGGCGGAAGCGCGCAACUGGGCCUCAACUGACGCUGAGGUACGAAAGCUAGGGGAGCGAAUGGG